RNAcentral lists this ribosomal RNA (254 nucleotides) under uncultured bacterium. Its description in RNAcentral is "partial 16S ribosomal RNA". It matches the Rfam family "Bacterial small subunit ribosomal RNA", at positions 524 to 776 of the family's 1533-position model. The record is from RNAcentral.
UACGGGGGGGGGCAAGCGUUGUUCGGAAUUACUGGGCGUAAAGGGCUCGUAGGUGGCCAACUAAGUCAGGCGUGAAAUCCCCAGGCUCAACCUGGGAACUGCGUCUGAUACUGGAUGGCUUGAAUCCGGGAGAGGGAUGCAGAAUUCCAGGUGUAGCGGUGAAAUGCGUAGAUAUCUGGAGGAAUACCGGUGGCGAAGGCGGCAUCCUGGACCGGCAUUGACGCUGAGGAGCGAAAGCUAGGGGAGCAAACGGG